This 310-nucleotide long non-coding RNA is filed under the name Cervus hanglu yarkandensis (Yarkand deer). RNAcentral's name for it is "lncRNA (ENSCHYG00000000230.1)". Lineage: Eukaryota; Metazoa; Chordata; Mammalia; Artiodactyla; Cervidae. The record is from RNAcentral.
ACAAGAUAGACCCCAGGGGCCUGGCCUAUAGCACAGAGAGUCAGGAAGCACCAGGACACCCAGACACCUUUUUACUGCACUUUUCUCUAAGGUUUGCCUUCUCUUCACUUCCCUGGAAGCCUUCGAAGCCAGGACCCAUGAUGAUGCCCCAUUUUCAUCCUCCUAAGAAGCAUGUGCUGCCUGUCAGGAGAACCAGCCCCUUGGACACCAGCUGUUCUUUUCAUGUUCAGAGGGACAGAAAUCAGCAGAAGAAUCAGAGCAAAACAGCCACCCUCUCCCACUCACUCCUUCUCACCACUGAUAGCAGAAG